Regulatory RNA element from Ruminococcus sp. CAG:177, 78 nucleotides. It matches the Rfam family "Glycine riboswitch aptamer". Rfam says of the family: This family represents the bacterial glycine riboswitch. Glycine riboswitches usually consist of two metabolite-binding aptamers domains with similar structures in tandem. The record is from Rfam. NCBI's taxonomy places the organism in Bacteria, Bacillati, Bacillota, Clostridia, Eubacteriales, Oscillospiraceae.
UUGACGGGUUUGGGAGAGAGCCGGAUUUCCGGCCACCGAAGGGGCGAAACUCUCAGGUAAAAGAACCGAGCCGGGACG